RNAcentral lists this ribosomal RNA (366 nucleotides) under uncultured bacterium. Its description in RNAcentral is "bacterial SSU rRNA". It matches the Rfam family "Bacterial small subunit ribosomal RNA", at positions 28 to 396 of the family's 1533-position model. The record is from RNAcentral.
GAUGAACGCUGGCGGCGUGCUUAACACAUGCAAGUCGAGCGGUAAGGCCCUUUCGGGGGUACGACGAGCGGCGAACGGGUGAGUAACACGUGGGUGACCUGCCCUCAGCUCUGGGAUAAGCCUGGGAAACCGGGUCUAAUACCGGAUAUGACUCCAUGACGCAUGUUGUGGGGUGGAAAGCCUUGUGCGGCUGAGGAUGGGCCCGCGGCCUAUCAGCUUGUUGGUGGGGUGAGGCCUACCAAGGCGACGACGGGUAGCCGGCCUGAGAGGCGACCGGCCACACUGGGACUGAGACACGGCCCAGACUCCUACGGGAGGCAGCAGUGGGGAAUCUUGCGCAAUGGGCGAAAGCCUGACGCAGCGACG